ACAGGUGUGACGCAGGAAGGUAGCCCAAGCCAGGCGAUGGUUGUCCUGGUGCAAGUGCGUAGGCCGAACCGUAGGCAAAUCCGCGGUUCAUACAGGCUGAGACACGAUGCGGAUAAAAAGUGGGUGAUCCUAUGCUGCCAAGAAAAGCAUCGACGCGAGGUUCAAGCCGCCCGUACCCCAAACAGACUCAGGUGGUCAGGUAGAGAAUACUAAGGAGAUCGAGAGAAUCGUGGUAAAGGAACUCGGCAAAAUGCCCCCGUAACUUCGGGAGAAGGGGGGCCACCCGCUUAUACGGACUUGCUCCGGAAAGGGUGUGGUGGCCGCAGAGACUAGUGGGUAGCGACUGUUUACUAAAAACACAGGUCCGUGCCAAGUCGCAAGACGAUGUAUACGGACUGACGCCUGCCCGGUGCUGGAAGGUUAAGAGGACCGGUUAGCCGCAAGGCGAAGCUGAGAAUUUAAGCCCCAGUAAACGGCGGUGGUAACUAUAACCAUCCUAAGGUAGCGAAAUUCCUUGUCGGGUAAGUUCCGACCUGCACGAAUGGCGUAACGACUUCCCAACUGUCUCAACCGCGAACUCGGCAAAAUUGCAUUACGAGUAAAGAUGCUCGUUACGCGCAGCAGGACGGAAAGACCCCGUGACCUUUACUAUAGCUUUGUAUUGGUGUUCGGUGUGGCUUGUGUAGGAUAGGUGGGAGACUUUGAAGCGUGGACGCCAGUUCAUGUGGAGUCAUUGUUGAAAUACCACUCUGGUCACUCUGGAUAUCUAACUUCGAACCGUGAUCCGGUUCAGGGACAGUGCAUGGUGGGUAGUUUAACUGGGGCGGUUGCCUCCCAAAAAGUAACGGAGGCGCCCAAAGGUUCCCUCAACCUGGUUGGCAAUCAGGUGUCGAGUGUAAGUGCACAAGGGAGCUUGACUGUGAGACUGACAGGUCGAGCAGGGACGAAAGUCGGGACUAGUGAUCCGGCAGUGGCUUGUGGAAGCGCUGUCGCUCAACGGAUAAAAGGUACCUCGGGGAUAACAGGCUGAUCUUGCCCAAGAGUCCAUAUCGACGGCAUGGUUUGGCACCUCGAUGUCGGCUCGUCGCAUCCUGGGGCUGGAGUAGGUCCCAAGGGUUGGGCUGUUCGCCCAUUAAAGCGGUACGCGAGCUGGGUUUAGAACGUUGUGAGACAGUUCGGUCCCUAUCCGCUGCGCGCGUAGGAAGUUUGAGAGGAUCUGACCCUAGUACGAGAGGACCGGGUUGGACGAACCUCUGGUGUGCCAGUUGUUCCGCCAGGAGCACCGCUGGUUAGCUACGUUCGGGAUGGAUAACCGCUGAAAGCAUCUAAGCGGGAAGCCGGCCUCAAGAUGAGACUUCCAUACCUUCGGGUGAGAGGCUCCCAGCCAGACUACUGGGUUGAUAGGCCAGAUGUGUAAGCGUGGCAACACGUGCAGCUGACUGGUACUAAUAAGCCGAUGACUC
RNAcentral lists this ribosomal RNA (1463 nucleotides) under metagenome. RNAcentral describes it as "bacterial LSU rRNA". It matches the Rfam family "Bacterial large subunit ribosomal RNA", at positions 1463 to 2925 of the family's 2925-position model. The record is from RNAcentral.